UCGCGCCAGCUUUUUCGUGCCUCUCAAGCUUCUGCCUGCAUCUCCUCACUUCUGUCCAGCAUCCGGUUUGUCCGCCUCCUCGCCCUGGCUCAGUCUGGUCGACUUUUGCCGCACACACCUUUCGAAAGCGAAUGGCCGCCUCGACCAAUGUUGACGGCUCCAGCCAGGCUGGCACGUCGAUGAAGAGGGCUCAUGAUAGCUCUUCGGACUCGGAAGAAUGCUCGGAUGGCGCAGCAGGCGGUCGUCCAGGUGGAAAGGGCAAAGUGCGCAGGGUGAACAAGUCGCGGAGCUGGCCGCAGUCAAUGGACGCACAUCGUGUCGAAGCCGCUCGACGCAUCCCUAGUUGCCGACAUCUUCAGAUCUCGUUCGAGGGAAUGUUGUUGUCGCGAAAGGAAGCUAUUGCAGAGUAUAUACGAAGGCGAACAGGCAUAGUUCGGACUGCUGCCCAAGUAGGCGGUCGCAUGCGUACGUGACAGAAGCGAACAAAGACGGACGGAAGGUCCACCUUCGCAGACUUGGUCAAUCACAUGCUCAGCAGUCGAGACUUCGCCGAGAUCAACUUCCCUGAGAUCCUCGGACCCGACUUGUUUCCGAUGUCGGCGUCCAUCUCACUGCGGCAGAAGGGAUCUCGCUCAGUCCGUGACGCCGCUACACAGACGGACUCGUCGUUCGCGACCUCAGCACCUCCCCAACCGGCAUGUGCUUGCAACGCCGACAACGCGCGGUUAUCGAUACUCGUCCCUCCAUGCAAGGUACCUACGCCGCAGCAUUCACCAUCCCCCUUGACGGCUGCCAACGCUGCUCCGUCCUUGAUUUACGUCACCGUCGACGCCUCAUUGGCGGCGCACCUCGCUCCGGCGCUCCCGACUCUUCGAGCUGCCGGCAUCUCGUCCACUAUCGACAUCGCCAACGUCCUACUUCUUGAAGAUGGCAUCUCAGACUCUUCUGCGCCUAGCUGGGCGAGUCGGAGAAAUUGGACACGGCGGAGCUUGAGCAGGCGAAGCAGCGGCUUCAGGACGCUAGGCGCGAGAUCCGACGGAGGUAG
This 1045-nucleotide unclassified non-coding RNA is filed under the name Rhodotorula toruloides. Lineage: Eukaryota; Fungi; Basidiomycota; Microbotryomycetes; Sporidiobolales; Sporidiobolaceae. The record is from RNAcentral.